Molecule: ribosomal RNA, 411 nt
Filed under: uncultured bacterium
Lineage: Bacteria
Description: bacterial SSU rRNA
Rfam family: Bacterial small subunit ribosomal RNA
Source: RNAcentral
ACAGCCGCCGCGGUAAUACGGAGGGUGCAAGCGUUAUCCGGAAUCACUGGGUUUAAAGGGUGCGUAGGCGGUUUGAUAAGUCAGAGGUGAAAGCUAGCAGCUUAACUGUUAAAUUGCCUUUGAUACUGUCAGACUUGAAUCAAGUUGAGGUAGGCGGAAUGUGACAUGUAGCGGUGAAAUGCAUAGAUAUGUCAUAGAACACCAAUUGCGUAGGCAGCUUGCUGGGCUUGAAUUGACGCUGAGGCACGAAAGCGUGGGGAUCAAACAGGAUUAGAUACCCUGGUAGUCCACGCCCUAAACGAUGUUAACUCGAUAUUUAUUCUUCGGAGUGAGUGUCCAAGCGAAAGCGUUAAGUUAACCACCUGGGGAGUACGUUCGCAAGAAUGAAACUUAAAGGAAUUGGCGGGGGAU